CCUACGGUAGGCAGCAGUCGAGAAUCAUUCACAAUGGGGGAAACCCUGAUGGUGCGACGCCGCGUGGGGGAAUGAAGGUCUUCGGAUUGUAAACCCCUGUCAUGUGGGAGCAAAUUAAAAAGAUAGUACCACAAGAGGAAGAGACGGCUAACUCUGUGCCAGCAGCCGCGGUAAUACAGAGGUAUCAAGCGUUGUUCGGAAUCACUGGGCGUAAAGCGUGCGUAGGCUGUUUCGUAAGUCGUGUGUGAAAGGCGCGGGCUCAACCCGCGGACGGCACAUGAUACUGCGAGACUAGAGUAAUGGAGGGGGAACCGGAAUUCUCGGUGCAGCAGUGAAAUGCGUAGAUAUCGAGAGGAACACUCGUGGCGAAGGCGGGUUCCUGGACAUUAACUGACGCUGAGGCACGAAGGCCAGGGGAGCGAAAGGGAUUAGAUACCCUUGUAGUC
Molecule: ribosomal RNA, 446 nt
Filed under: uncultured bacterium
Lineage: Bacteria
Description: partial 16S ribosomal RNA
Rfam family: Bacterial small subunit ribosomal RNA
Source: RNAcentral